Molecule: long non-coding RNA, 475 nt
Filed under: Lathyrus oleraceus (garden pea)
Lineage: Eukaryota; Viridiplantae; Streptophyta; Magnoliopsida; Fabales; Fabaceae
Description: Pisum sativum (pea) long non-coding RNA (PSAT_LNC032267)
Source: RNAcentral
UUAGUUUGAGGAUGUAGAGGGAUUUCAAUCCCGGUUCUAUUUCUUCUGAAAUUCCUUAGCUAACAUGGACAGUUGCAAUCUGUAGCAGAAACACAACAACACAAUUCAGCAUGACUAACAUAACAAAAUUAGUUACUAACUUUAAUACCCUCAAACCCACUCCAAACUUCUUCAAAAACAAGCCAUCAGAAAUAGAACCGGGAUUGAAAUAUACCCUCAAACCCACUCCAAACUUCUUCAAAAACAAGCCAUCAGAAAUAGAACCGGGAUUGAAAUCCCUCUACAUCCUCAAACUAAUUCUGCAACCUGCAUAACAUCUUUCAACCUGGGGAUCAAUUAUGCAAUCUGAAUUCAACUCUGCAACCGGAGCUUCAACUCUAUAAUCUGCAAAAUCAACAAUUUAAAUCAAUAUUCUUUCAACCUGGGGAUCAAUUCUGUAAUCUGAAUUCAACUCUGCAACUGGAGCUUCAACUCU